This 72-nucleotide transfer RNA is filed under the name Urocitellus parryii (Arctic ground squirrel). RNAcentral's name for it is "Spermophilus parryii (Arctic ground squirrel) tRNA". It matches the Rfam family "tRNA". Rfam says of the family: Transfer RNA (tRNA) molecules are approximately 80 nucleotides in length. Their secondary structure includes four short double-helical elements and three loops (D, anti-codon, and T loops). Further hydrogen bonds mediate the characteristic L-shaped molecular structure. tRNAs have two regions of fundamental functional importance: the anti-codon, which is responsible for specific mRNA codon recognition, and the 3' end, to which the tRNAs corresponding amino acid is attached (by aminoacyl-tRNA synthetases). tRNAs cope with the degeneracy of the genetic code in two manners: having more than one tRNA (with a specific anti-codon) for a particular amino acid; and 'wobble' base-pairing, i.e. permitting non-standard base-pairing at the 3rd anti-codon position. The record is from Rfam by way of RNAcentral. RNAcentral also lists the same sequence under 2 other names. Lineage: Eukaryota; Metazoa; Chordata; Mammalia; Rodentia; Sciuridae.
UGGGAUGUAGCUCAGUGGUACAGCACUUACCUAGCAAGCAUGAGGUCCUAGGUUCAAUCCCCAGUCUCUUAA